Pelobates cultripes (western spadefoot toad) is the source of this 913-nucleotide non-coding RNA. Lineage: Eukaryota; Metazoa; Chordata; Amphibia; Anura; Pelobatidae. The record is from the annotation of a GenBank genome assembly.
CCUUCCAGGACCUUGCUGUGGAGGAGUAGCAGGAGUGCUAGCACGCAUGUGCAGCACAGGAUCCAGUUGAAGUGACGGGGGUAUAGAAAUUUGACGGGGUAUAGCCAGUGGUGUAUCCUGGUUUUGUGCUGCCCUAGGCAGGACAAAACUCAGGCGCCCCCCCCCCCCCCACACCAGCCUCCCCCCCCAAGCCUUCUAAAUACACACACACACACACACAUUCACUGACAGAUACGCAUACACUCGCUAACAGAAACACACACACACACUAACAGACACACUCACACUCACUAACAGACACACACAGUCAGACACACACACUAACAGACACACACUCACUCACUCACUAGCAGACACACCCUAGCAGACACACACACACACACUCACACUCACACAGUCAGACACACACACACACAUUAACAGACACACACUCACUGACACACACACUCACAGGCAAACACACUCACACUAACAGACACACACAUAGUCAGACACACACACUAACAGACACACACACACACACUAACAGACACACACACUCACUGACACACACACUCACUGACACACACACUCACUGACACACAGUCAGACACACACACACACACUAACAGACACAUACAGUCAGAAACACACUCACUCAUUAGCAGACACACACUAGCAGACACACAUAGUCAGACACACACUAGCAGACACACACUCACUCAUUAGCAGACACACACACACACACACACACACUAACAAACACACACACAUUAACAGACACACUCACAGACAUAUACACACACUCACAUUAACACAUUUUUUUUUAUUUAUCCCCCCCCAACCUCCUUACCUUUGGGAAUGCUGGGGGGGGGGGUCCCUCUCUCCCUGGUGGUCCAGUGGCUGAUGGUCAGGAGGGCGGGCGGCUGGCGAG